RNAcentral lists this ribosomal RNA (253 nucleotides) under uncultured bacterium. RNAcentral describes it as "partial 16S ribosomal RNA". It matches the Rfam family "Bacterial small subunit ribosomal RNA", at positions 524 to 776 of the family's 1533-position model. The record is from RNAcentral.
UACGGGGGGAGCAAGCGUUGUUCGGAUUUACUGGGCGUAAAGGGCGCGUAGGCGGCGUGACAAGUCACUUGUGAAAUCUCCGGGCUUAACCCGGAGCGGCCAAGUGAUACUGUCGUGCUAGAGUGCGGAAGGGGCUACUGGAAUUCUCGGUGUAGCGGUGAAAUGCGUAGAUAUCGGGAGGAACACCUGCGGCGAAGGCGGGUAGCUGGGCCGACACUGACGCUGAGGCGCGAAAGCCAGGGGAGCGAACGGG